GAUGAACGCUAGCGGCGUGCCUAAUACAUGCAAGUCGAACGGAGAGUUAGCAAUAACUCUUAGUGGCGAACGGGUGAGUAACGCGUUGGUGACCUACCCCAAAGUGUGGGAUAACAGACCGAAAGGUCUGCUAAUACCUCAUGUGGUCAAGAAAGUUAGAUUAUUUUGACUAAAGCAGUAAUGCGCUUUGGGAUGGGCCUGCGUCCCAUCAGCUAGUUGGUAAGGUAAUGGCUUACCAAGGCGACGACGGGUAGGGGGCCUGAGAGGGUGGCCCCCCACACUGGUACUGAAACACGGACCAGACACCUGCGGGUGGCAGCAGUAGGGAAUAUUGGUCAAUGGACGAAAGUCUGAACCAGCAACGCCGCGUGUGCGAUGAAGGCCUUCGGGUCGUAAAGCACUUUUCUGUGGGAAGAGAAAGGACGGUACCACAGGAAUAAGUCUCGGCUAACUACGUG
Molecule: ribosomal RNA, 458 nt
Filed under: uncultured organism
Description: bacterial SSU rRNA
Rfam family: Bacterial small subunit ribosomal RNA
Source: RNAcentral